RNAcentral lists this ribosomal RNA (255 nucleotides) under uncultured bacterium. RNAcentral's name for it is "partial 16S ribosomal RNA". It matches the Rfam family "Bacterial small subunit ribosomal RNA", at positions 793 to 1055 of the family's 1533-position model. The record is from RNAcentral.
GUCCACGCCGUAAACGAUGGAUACUAGCUGUUGGGAGCGAUCUCAGUGGCUAAGCGAAAGUGAUAAGUAUCCCACCUGGGUAGUACGUUCGCAAGAAUGAAACUCAAAGGAAUUGACGGGGGCCCGCACAAGCGGUGGAGCAUGUGGUUUAAUUCUAUGAUACGCGAGGAACCUUACCAAGGCUUAAAUGUAGAUUGACCGGUUUGGAAACAGACUUUUCGCAAGACAAUUUACAAGGUGCUGCAUGGUUGUCGU